This 293-nucleotide ribosomal RNA is filed under the name Rickettsia massiliae. RNAcentral's name for it is "partial 23S ribosomal RNA". The record is from RNAcentral. Lineage: Bacteria; Pseudomonadati; Pseudomonadota; Alphaproteobacteria; Rickettsiales; Rickettsiaceae.
GUAAUGUGUGUAGCUAACCGAUACUAAUAGCUCGAUUGAUUUACUUUGCUGUGAGAUUACAUAUGCAUAUAGUGUUAAUGUUAUAAGAGUGUAGUAUCAACUCACAAAGUUAUCAGGUUAAAUAGCUUUAUCAACUAAUAAAAAUGUUAUUGCAUCACUAAUGUUAUACUGUAGCCCCGCCACGAUAUCUAGCAAAAAUUAUUUUGCUGAGUAUCGUAGUAAAAGUUAAGAUAUGAUGUUAAGAAUUUUUUUGAGUCGUGCAACAACAUUAACAGCAAACUAUAAUACAAAUC